Molecule: long non-coding RNA, 699 nt
Organism: Homo sapiens (human)
Lineage: Eukaryota; Metazoa; Chordata; Mammalia; Primates; Hominidae
Source: Ensembl
AGUGCUCAGGGGAUAUAAAAAUAAUGCAUUGUAUGCCGGAAGGGAUAAAUCUGGGGCUGAGUACAAGCAAAACAAGACCAAAGGAAGCUACCUGAGCAGUCACUGGAGCCCUAAUGAUCGCAGCCAUUUCAGGAAAUGCCAUCAAUUACAGUGAGGAGCUCAUUCAGAAGUGAAAGAUGAGUUCCAUUCUCUGUUACUUAGAGAUGUCAAGGAACUUUCCUCCUGAUUGAUUUUCUACAUGCUUUAUCUCUCAUCCAUCUAGUCCCCAUUUUCUCCUUUCACUGAACACAAUUAUUUCUGGAAAGAGUAUUACACUCAGUAUUCUGCAUUUCAUAUGGCAUUUCAAAGUCCUGAGAAUGACUCUCCGUAGUCUUCUAUGUACUAAUUAAACAUGAACAUGUGGUAAACAACAUGGACUAUUCCAGUGGACAGAAAGCGUCAAGUUAAAAUGUUUAAGUGCCCCAUAUUUUUCUAAGUAUUCUUAUCCAGUUGGUCUGACUGGUCAUUAUCUGUUUUGUAAAACUUCCCAAACAACUCAUCAAUAUUUAAAUAGCUAUCCAAAUUAUAAACUUCAAAUAGCAGAAUCCAAAUGUCAUUUAUGCAUAAUUCAAAAGAACUUUGCUGAAAACAAUCUUUGGAUUACAAUUGCUCUCUAAUCCACCUCUUGAAUUUCUACAUAAGAAUUCAAUGCCAAUGCAA